GAUGAACGCUGGCGGCGUGCCUAAUACAUGCAAGUCGAGCGAACGGACGAGAAGCUUGCUUCUCUGAUGUUAGCGGCGGACGGGUGAGUAACACGUGGAUAACCUAUCUAUAAGACUGGGAUAAAUUCGGGAAACCGGAGCUAAUACCGGAUGAUAUUUUGUACCGCAUGGUCCAAAAGUGAAAGAAGGUCUUGCUGUCACUUAUAGAUGGAUCCGCGCUGCAUUAGCUAGUUGGUAAGGUAACGGCUUACCAAGGCAACGAUGCAUUGCCGACCUGAGAGGGUGAUCGGACACACUGGAACUGAGACACGGUCCAGACUCCUACGGGAGGCGACAGUGGGGAAUCUUCCGCUAUGGGCGAAAGCCUGGCGGAGCAACGCCGCGUGAGUGGUGAGGGUCUUCGGAUCGUAAAACUCUGUUAUUAGGGAAGAACAUAUGUGUAAGUAACUGUGCACAUCUUGACGGUACCUAAUCAGAAAGCCACGGCUAACUACGUG
Molecule: ribosomal RNA, 497 nt
Filed under: uncultured bacterium
Lineage: Bacteria
Description: partial 16S ribosomal RNA
Rfam family: Bacterial small subunit ribosomal RNA
Source: RNAcentral